This 462-nucleotide ribosomal RNA is filed under the name uncultured bacterium. RNAcentral describes it as "partial 16S ribosomal RNA". It matches the Rfam family "Bacterial small subunit ribosomal RNA", at positions 28 to 507 of the family's 1533-position model. The record is from RNAcentral.
GACGAACGCUGGCGGCGUGCUUAACACAUGCAAGUCGAGCGGAAAGGCCCUUCGGGGUACUCGAGCGGCGAACGGGUGAGUAACACGUGAGUAACCUGCCCUAGGCUUUGGGAUAACCCCGGGAAACCGGGGCUAAUACCGGAUAUGACCUGGUGCCGCAUGGUGUUGGGUGGAAAGUUUUUUCGGCCUGGGAUGGGCUCGCGGCCUAUCAGCUUGUUGGUGGGGUGAUGGCCUACCAAGGCGAUGACGGGUAGCCGGCCUGAGAGGGCGACCGGCCACACUGGGACUGAGACACGGCCCAGACUCCUACGGGAGGCAGCAGUGGGGAAUAUUGCACAAUGGGCGGAAGCCUGAUGCAGCGACGCCGUGUGAGGGAUGAAGGCCUUCGGGUUGUAAACCCCUUUCAGCAGGGACGAAGCGUGAGUGACGGUACCUGCAGAAGAAGCGCCGGCCAACUACGUG